This 427-nucleotide ribosomal RNA is filed under the name uncultured bacterium. RNAcentral describes it as "bacterial SSU rRNA". It matches the Rfam family "Bacterial small subunit ribosomal RNA", at positions 355 to 774 of the family's 1533-position model. The record is from RNAcentral.
UGGGGAAUCUUCCGCAAUGGACGAAAGUCUGACGGAGCAACGCCGCGUGAGUGAAGAAGGUCUUCGGAUUGUAAAGCUCUGUCAACUAGGACGAAUGUGUGAUUUGUGAAUAAUGAAUCAUAAUGACGGUACUAGAGAAGGAAGCCACGGCUAACUACGUGCCAGCAGCCGCGGUAAUACGUAGGUGGCGAGCGUUGUCCGGAAUUAUUGGGCGUAAAGAGCGCGUAGGCGGGUAGAUAAGUCUGUUUUAAAAGUGCGGGGCUCAACCCCGUGAUGGAAUGGAAACUGUUUAUCUUGAGUACCGGAGAGGAAAGUGGAAUUCCCAGUGUAGCGGUGAAAUGCGUAGAUAUUGGGAGGAACACCAGUGGCGAAGGCGACUUUCUGGACGGUGUCUGACGCUGAGGCGCGAAAGCCAGGGAAGUGAACG